This 1570-nucleotide long non-coding RNA is filed under the name Homo sapiens (human). RNAcentral's name for it is "HSALNT0135910". The record is from RNAcentral. Lineage: Eukaryota; Metazoa; Chordata; Mammalia; Primates; Hominidae.
GGGAUUGGAGCCACAGAAGGAGUGAAGGGUUAUUCUAAUAAUACAGCCUCGAAAUCCUGACAGCCAGUGAUGCAUGAGUCUUCUAAUACUCCUUUUGGCCUUUAAAUCCAUGCUUUAGUUGUUGCCUUCCUUGAAGACAUGGCUGGGGGUGUCAUCUUAGUAUUUACAACCAUCAGUUAGGAUUACAUUGACAGCAUCUAGUGGGAGGGAGAGUCCACUAGACCCCAUGGCUGGAAAUCUGAAGAAAGAAAGCUGGCAUGCGUUAUAAAAUCACAAGAAUAGCCAGCACCAUCUCCACAGGCUGUGGAACCCCGCGCGAUACCAAGGGGAUUGGAGCAAGCAAGUUACACUCUCUGCUUCUCUUUCUAAGAAACAGAAUUUGGCAUAAAUAAAUGAUAACUGAGAAAAUGGCAUACACGGACAAGUAAAUGCAAGAUUUCUCCAGCCUCCCACGGGCUUGAAAUGUAUUUAGGGAAGCCAGGCAUGUAUGCAUGAAAUAGAAAGUCACCAUACAAGGCAGUGGGGCACCUGCCAUUUGCUGCAGAGGACGCAGCUGAAGAUAAGGACUACAGCCAUUCAAGGCCCCAGGGGAGGCCAGGGCAGGACUGGGACCAGAGCCUCACCAAAGACAUGGAGAUCCUAGGAUAAGAAGGCUGAAGGGUUAGUUUCUGGAUCAUCUGAAAUUUGAUAUUUUAAAAGCUUUCUUUAAAAGACGCUUUUAUAAUUCUCUCUUAAAAAAUUCAGCCCAUUUUGUCCUUUGCCAUUUUUGAAUUGGGUUAUAGGUCUUGUACUUAUUGAUUUAUAAAAGCUCUUUCAUUUUAGAAACAUUAAUAAUAAAUAUUUUACCUAGUUAAGAAAAUUUAGCUGCCAAGUGAUGUCUUUUCCAUAUGGUGACAAAUACAUUAAGGAGAGGGGAAGGUCAAAAUUUGUGCUUUAUGAUUUCUUCUUAAUUUUUAAAAAUUUUUAAUUUUAUGGGAACAUAGUGGGUGUAUAUAUUUAUGGGGUACACGAGAUAUUUUGAUACAGGCAUGCAAUGUGUAAUAAUCACAUUAGGGUAAAUGGGGUAUCUGGCACCUCAAGCAUUUAGCAUUUCCUUUUGUUACAAACAAUCCAAUUGUACUCUUUCAGUUAUUUUAAAAUGUACAAUAUGUUUUGCUGACUGUAAUAACCCUGUUGUGCUGUCAAAUACCAGAUCCUAUUCAUUCUAUCUAACUCUAUUUUUGUACCUAGUAACCAUUCCACCCCCGCCCCUUCCUAGCCUCUGGUAACCAUCAUUCUAUUCUCUCUGUCCAUGAGUUCAAUUGUUUUAAUUUUUAGCUCUCACAAAUGAAUGAAAACAUGUGAAGUUUGUCUUUCCAUGCCUGUUUUAUUUCAUUUAACAGAAUGUCCUCCAGUUCCAUCCAUGGUGUUGUAAAUGACAGGAUCUCAUUCCUUUUUAUGGCUGAAUAGUACUCCACUACGCAUAUGUACCACAUUUUCUUCAUCUAAUUUAUCUGUUGAUGGACACUUACAUUGCUUCCAGAUCUUGUCUAUUGUGAACAGAGCUGCAAUAAACAUGGCAGUGCAGGAA